CAUGAAUAAGUCAUACAAGACAUUUUAGGAAUAAUGCAAAUUACCAGAGGAACAAAAAAACAAGAACGAAGACAGAUCUGGAUCGGUCACAUGACAGACAACAAUGGUGUUGCAAAUAGGGACUGCCCCAGGACUUCUACCAUACAGGAGCCACCACCACCUUUUUCAUGUGAAAGUUUGAACAUCCAUCAUGCCCAAGUAUUGUUAUUAAAGUUGUAAAACAUUGUUAUUUGAG
This is a long non-coding RNA of Hyla sarda, 235 nucleotides long. RefSeq lists it as uncharacterized. The transcript has 3 exons. The record is from RefSeq and is a predicted model, not a curated record. Lineage: Eukaryota; Metazoa; Chordata; Amphibia; Anura; Hylidae.